This 426-nucleotide ribosomal RNA is filed under the name uncultured bacterium. RNAcentral describes it as "bacterial SSU rRNA". It matches the Rfam family "Bacterial small subunit ribosomal RNA", at positions 354 to 777 of the family's 1533-position model. The record is from RNAcentral.
GUGAGGAAUAUUGGUCAAUGGACGAGAGUCUGAACCAGCCAAGUAGCGUGAAGGAUGACUGCCCUAUGGGUUGUAAACUUCUUUUAUACGGGAAUAAAGUUAGCCACGUGUGGCUUUUUGUAUGUACCGUAUGAAUAAGGAUCGGCUAACUCCGUGCCAGCAGCCGCGGUAAUACGGAGGAUCCGAGCGUUAUCCGGAUUUAUUGGGUUUAAAGGGAGCGUAGGCGGGUUGUUAAGUCAGUUGUGAAAGUUUGCGGCUCAACCGUAAAAUUGCAGUUGAUACUGGCGACCUUGAGUGCAACAGAGGUAGGCGGAAUUCGUGGUGUAGCGGUGAAAUGCUUAGAUAUCACGAAGAACUCCGAUUGCGAAGGCAGCUUACUGGAUUGUAACUGACGCUGAUGCUCGAAAGUGUGGGUAUCAAACAGGA